This 450-nucleotide ribosomal RNA is filed under the name uncultured bacterium. RNAcentral's name for it is "partial 16S ribosomal RNA". It matches the Rfam family "Bacterial small subunit ribosomal RNA", at positions 354 to 796 of the family's 1533-position model. The record is from RNAcentral.
GUAGGGAAUCUUGCGCAAUGGGCGAAAGCCUGACGCAGCCAUGCCGCGUGUGUGAAGAAGGUCUUCGGAUUGUAAAGCACUUUAAGUUGGGAGGAAGGGCAGUAAGUUAAUACCUUGCUGUUUUGACGUUACCGACAGAAUAAGCACCGGCUAACUUCGUGCCAGCAGCCGCGGUAAUACGAAGGGUGCAAGCGUUAAUCGGAAUUACUGGGCGUAAAGCGCGCGUAGGUGGUUUUGUAAGUUGGAGGUGAAAUCCCCGGGCUCAACCUGGGAACUGCCUCCAAAACUGCAUGACUAGAGUACGGUAGAGGGUAGUGGAAUUUCCUGUGUAGCGGUGAAAUGCGUAGAUAUAGGAAGGAACACCAGUGGCGAAGGCGACUACCUGGACUGAUACUGACACUGAGGUGCGAAAGCGUGGGGAGCAAACAGGAUUAGAAACCCCGGUAGUCC